This 74-nucleotide transfer RNA is filed under the name Arthrobacter sp. Its description in RNAcentral is "tRNA-Pro". It matches the Rfam family "tRNA". From Rfam's summary of the family: Transfer RNA (tRNA) molecules are approximately 80 nucleotides in length. Their secondary structure includes four short double-helical elements and three loops (D, anti-codon, and T loops). Further hydrogen bonds mediate the characteristic L-shaped molecular structure. tRNAs have two regions of fundamental functional importance: the anti-codon, which is responsible for specific mRNA codon recognition, and the 3' end, to which the tRNAs corresponding amino acid is attached (by aminoacyl-tRNA synthetases). tRNAs cope with the degeneracy of the genetic code in two manners: having more than one tRNA (with a specific anti-codon) for a particular amino acid; and 'wobble' base-pairing, i.e. permitting non-standard base-pairing at the 3rd anti-codon position. The record is from RNAcentral. RNAcentral also lists the same sequence under 28 other names. Lineage: Bacteria; Bacillati; Actinomycetota; Actinomycetes; Micrococcales; Micrococcaceae.
CGGGUUGUGGCGCAGCUUGGUAGCGCACCUGACUGGGGGUCAGGGGGUCGCAGGUUCAAAUCCUGUCAACCCGA